UCACGAAUUACUAACUCGUUCCCACAGAUUAUCAAUUCGUUCCCUCGAUUUAAACAAUCGGUUUUCUCGGAUUGUAAUUCGUUUUCUCGGUUUGAAAAAUCUGAUCAAACGGAUUUGAAAUUCGUUAUUACGUUUUGAUGAAUACAUACAUCUCUCAUAUUCCUCAUAUCAAUCAGCAGCUAGAAAGGGCACUAGAAUUGGACAUAAAGAGACAAUCUACAACUUAAUUCACCAGUACUUCCAUUUUGACUUGCAAUACAAAGAUAUUGUAAUCAUUUUAGUUCUGAUUGUCAUGGUGGUGUAUUUUGAUGAAAAAAUGCUGUCAAACCUGGAUAGAAGAAUUAAACGAUUUGCAGAACCGUGGUCUUUUUACGAGUGACAAGUUGGACACUAACCUGCUUCAGUUUUGUUUGAUGAAAAUACUUCAGAAUGAGUUAGACGAAGUGGCACAUGUGUGGAAUGCUCAUUA
Molecule: long non-coding RNA, 469 nt
Organism: Magallana angulata
Lineage: Eukaryota; Metazoa; Mollusca; Bivalvia; Ostreida; Ostreidae
Exons: 3
Source: RefSeq, a predicted model, not a curated record